CUUCAGGGCAGGGCGAGAUUCCCGACCGGUGGUAAAGUCCACGAGUUGUUUUUAUUUAUAAAAAUGACACGAACUGGUGCAAUUCCAGUACCGAUAGUUAUAGUCUAGAUGGUAGAAG
This 118-nucleotide non-coding RNA is filed under the name Leptotrichia wadei. RNAcentral's name for it is "FMN riboswitch (RFN element)". It matches the Rfam family "FMN riboswitch aptamer (RFN element)". Rfam says of the family: The RFN element is a highly conserved domain that is found frequently in the 5'-untranslated regions of prokaryotic mRNAs that encode for flavin mononucleotide (FMN) biosynthesis and transport proteins. This element is a metabolite-dependent riboswitch that directly binds FMN in the absence of proteins. The record is from RNAcentral. Lineage: Bacteria; Fusobacteriati; Fusobacteriota; Fusobacteriia; Fusobacteriales; Leptotrichiaceae.